This 1332-nucleotide ribosomal RNA is filed under the name Triticum aestivum (bread wheat). RNAcentral describes it as "partial small subunit ribosomal RNA". Lineage: Eukaryota; Viridiplantae; Streptophyta; Magnoliopsida; Poales; Poaceae. The record is from RNAcentral.
UUUGCUGACGAGAAAGAAGCUUACGAAUUUUAUGUCCGCUACGCAAGUCAUGCUGGAUUUGAUGUUCGCAAGAGUCGCACAAAAAAGACGGUGCGUGAGUUUUGCUGUUCCCGUGAAGGGCAUGCACCCCUACCAAAUCACGACGAAGAACGCAAGCGAGCAAAGAUGUCGAAGAGAACAGGCUGUCGAGCCUUUGUCAAGCUAAGGAAAAAUCUGAAAGAUGGAUCUUUUCAAAUUGAGAGGCUAGUUCAAGAACACAACCAUCCUCUUGUAUCCACGCCCUCCCAACUUAAGUUUAUGAGGGUACACAAAAACUUUGAUCCUUCAUUAAUGUUGUUCGUCGAUCAUUUGCAAGCCGCAAAAGUAAAACACAAGUCUAUGAUCAAUUUGCUCUCAGACAUGCAUGGUAGCCGAGAUAAUAUUCCUUUUCCGGACAGGGACUUGGAGAAUAGGAAGGCGGCUAACAUGCGUAACGAGAAAACUGAUGAUGGAAACAAGAUGAUGGAAUUUUUCAAUGAAUUCCAUGCACACAAUGGAAAGUUUUAUCACGACAUAAUGUAUGAUGCUGAUGGUCUUCCGAAAAAUAUUUUCUGGAGCCAUGCUAGUUGCCGUGCGAACUAUAGUGAUUUCGGUGAUGUUGUUACGUUCGACACCACCUUCAAGACCAACAGGUACAAUAUGCCACUGGCAAUGUUUGUUGGUGCUAACCAUCACCUGCAGAGCACUAUUUUUGGUUUUGCCUUACUUCGUGAUGAGUCGGAGGACUCAUUCGUCUGGCUUUUCAAUACAUUCAAGAAAUGUAUGGAGGGCCACGAACCGCGUUGCAUUUUAACAGACGAAGACCAGGCUAUGGCAAAUGCAAUUAAAUUUGUGUACCCUAGGACUGCUCAUAGACUCUGUAGGUGGCAUGUCUUAAAAAAGUAUAAGGACCAGUUGAACAUCUUGUAUGCGAGUCGACAAGGCCUGAAGGAAUGGAUGCUCUCAGUGAUAAAUCACCCCCUAACACCUAAAGAAUUCGAGCAAGCUUGGGAUGAAAUGCUAACAACUUAUGAUCUUCACGGGAAUGUCACCCUUGCUGCCCUUUAUGAGAACCGCAGAGACUGGAUAGCCCCUUACUUUAAAGACAUAUAUUGUGGAAAGAUGACGUCAACUCAAAGAAGCGAGAGCAUGAAUAGGCUAGUAAAAAUUAAUUUUGUUGACCAUACCACUGCCCUGCAUAGAUUUGCAUGUCAGAUGUACCGUGUUCUUCAGGAUAGGAAGCACGCCGAGUCUAAACUCACACACGCAUCACAGGUACUUUGUCAAUCCAUCUUUUACAUUUUUUCUAUAUAA